AUGAUCAAUCAAGUUCGCUCUGCAUGCUGGUAUCAUAGAAUGAGAGAAAUUUUUACCUCUACAGCAGAAAGCAUGGCGGCUCCGACAGAAGUUCUCCAGAUUAGUGAAGAUGUAAUUCAGAGUUUCUUGAGGAAUGAUCGUCGAAGGUUGAAGAUGAAGUUUGUGGCUAAAGCGUCAAGAAUGAAGAGUGAUGUAAGGGAUGAAUAUCAUGAUGAGGAAGAUGAAGACAGAGGAGUAUGA
Molecule: non-coding RNA, 240 nt
Organism: Vicia faba (fava bean)
Lineage: Eukaryota; Viridiplantae; Streptophyta; Magnoliopsida; Fabales; Fabaceae
Source: the annotation of a GenBank genome assembly